RNAcentral lists this ribosomal RNA (431 nucleotides) under Actinomycetes bacterium. RNAcentral's name for it is "Actinobacteria bacterium partial 16S ribosomal RNA". It matches the Rfam family "Bacterial small subunit ribosomal RNA", at positions 355 to 776 of the family's 1533-position model. Lineage: Bacteria; Bacillati; Actinomycetota; Actinomycetes. The record is from RNAcentral.
UGAGGAAUUUUGCGCAAUGGGGGAAACCCGACGCAGCAACGCCGCGUGGGUGAUGAAGGCCUUCGGGUCGUAAAGCCCUGUCGGGCGGGAAGAAGGGGUUUUGGGCAAACAGCCCGAGAUUUUGACGGUACCGCCAGAGGAAGCACCGGCUAACUCCGUGCCAGCAGCCGCGGUAAUACGGAGGGUGCGAGCGUUAUUCGGAAUUACUGGGCGUAAAGCGCGUGCAGGCGGAAGGAGCAGUCUGAUGUGAAAGCCCGGGGCUUAACCCCGGAAGAGCAUUGGAAACCAUCCUUCUUGAGUGCUGGAGAGGAAGGGGGAAUUCCCGGUGUAGAGGUGAAAUUCGUAGAGAUCGGGAGGAAUACCAGUGGCGAAGGCGCCCUUCUGGACAGUCAAACUGACGCUGAGACGCGAAAGCGUGGGGAGCAAACAGG